AACGAACGCUGGCGGCAUGCCUAACACAUGCAAGUCGAACGAGACCUUCGGGUCUAGUGGCGCACGGGUGCGUAACGCGUGGGAACCUGCCCUUAGGUUCGGAAUAACUCCCCGAAAGGGGUGCUAAUACCGGAUAAGCUCUUCGGACCAAAGAUUUAUCGCCUUUGGAUGGGCCCGCGUUGGAUUAGCUGGUUGGUAGGGUAAAAGCCUACCAAGGGGACGAUCCAUAGCUGGUCUGAGAGGAUGGUCAGCCACACUGGGACUGAGACACGGCCCAGACUCCGACGGGAGGCAGCAGUGGGGAAUAUUGGACAAUGGGCGAAAGCCUGAUCCAGCAAUGCCGCGUGAGUGAUGAAGGCGUUAGGGUUGUAAAGCUCUUUUACCCGGGAUGAUAAUGACAGUACCGGGAGAAUAAGCUCCGGCUAACUCCGUG
RNAcentral lists this ribosomal RNA (433 nucleotides) under uncultured bacterium. RNAcentral describes it as "partial 16S ribosomal RNA". It matches the Rfam family "Bacterial small subunit ribosomal RNA", at positions 29 to 507 of the family's 1533-position model. The record is from RNAcentral.